RNAcentral lists this ribosomal RNA (422 nucleotides) under uncultured bacterium. Its description in RNAcentral is "partial 16S ribosomal RNA". It matches the Rfam family "Bacterial small subunit ribosomal RNA", at positions 37 to 507 of the family's 1533-position model. The record is from RNAcentral.
UGGCGGCAGGCUUAACACAUGCAAGUCGCGCGCCCCGCAAGGGGAGCGGCAGACGGGUGAGUAACGCGUGGGAACGUAACUUUUGGUUCGGAACAACUCCGGGAAACUGGAGCUAAUACCGGAUAAGCCCUAACGGGGAAAGAUUUAUCGCCGAAAGAUCGGCCCGCGUCUGAUUAGCUAGUUGGUGAGGUAACGGCUCACCAAGGCGACGAUCAGUAGCUGGUCUGAGAGGAUGAUCAGCCACACUGGGACUGAGGCACGGCCCAGACUCCUACGGGAGGCAGCAGUGGGGAAUAUUGGACAAUGGGCGCAAGCCUGAUCCAGCCAUGCCGCGUGAGUGAUGAAGGCCUUAGGGUUGUAAAGCUCUUUUGUCCGGGAAGAUAAUGACUGUACCGGAAGAAUAAGCCCCGGCUAACUUCGUG